AGAGUUUGAUCCUGGCUCAGAUUGAACGCUGGCGGAAUGCUUUACACAUGCAAGUCGAGCGGCAGCGCGGGGGCAACCCUGGCGGCGAGCGGCGAACGGGUGAGUAACACAUCGGAACGUACCCAGUUGUGGGGGAUAGCCCGGCGAAAGCCGGAUUAAUACCGCAUACGACCUGAGGGUGAAAGUGGGGGAUCGCAAGACCUCACGCAGUUGGAGCGGCCGAUGGCGGAUUAGCUAGUUGGUGAGGUAAAGGCUCACCAAGGCGACGAUCCGUAGCUGGUCUGAGAGGACGACCAGUCACACUGGAACUGAGACACGGUCCAGACUCCUACGGGAGGCAGCAGUGGGGAAUUUUGGACAAUGGGGGCAACCCUGAUCCAGCCAUUCCGCGUGAGUGAAGAAGGCCUUCGGGUUGUAAAGCUCUUUCGGCAGGAACGAAACGGUGAGGGUUAAUACCUCUCAUCAAUGACGGUACCUGAAGAAUAAGCACCGGCUAACUUCGUGCCAGCAGCCGCGGUAAUACGAAGGGUGCAAGCGUUACUCGGAAUUACUGGGCGUAAAGCGUGCGUAGGUGGUUUGUUAAGUCAGAUGUGAAAGCCCCGGGCUCAACCUGGGAAUUGCAUUUGAUACUGGCGGACUAGAGUGCGGUAGAGGAGAGUGGAAUUCCCGGUGUAGCAGUGAAAUGCGUAGAGAUCGGGAGGAACAUCAGUUGCGAAGGCGGCUCUCUGGACCAGCACUGACACUGAGGCACGAAAGCGUGGGGAGCAAACAGGAUUAGAUACCCUGGUAGUCCACGCCCUAAACGAUGCGAACUAGGUGUUGGAGAAGGAGACUUCUUUAGUACCGUAGCUAACGCGUGAAGUUCGCCGCCUGGGGAGUACGGUCGCAAGAUUAAAACUCAAAGGAAUUGACGGGGACCCGCACAAGCGGUGGAGCGUGUGGUUUAAUUCGAUGAUACACGAAAAACCUUACCCAGGCUUGACAUAUAAGUGGUAGGGAUCUGAAAGGUGACCGACCCUUCGGGGAGCUUAUACAGGUGCUGCAUGGCUGUCGUCAGCUCGUGCCGUGAGGUGUCCGGUUAAGUCCGGUAACGAGCGCAACCCUCACUGUGUGUUACAAGUGUCACACGGAACUGCCGGUAUCAAGCCGGAGGAAGGUGGGGAUGACGUCAAGUCAGCAUGGCCUUUAUGCCUGGGGCUACACACACGCUACAAUGGCCAGUACAAUGGGUUGCAAGACCGCGAGGUGGAGCCAAUCCUCAAAGCUGGUCUCAGUUCAGAUUGUAGGCUGCAACUCACCUACAUGAAGUUGGAAUCGCUAGUAAUCGCGCAUCAGCAUGGCGCGGUGAAUACGUUCCCGGGCCUUGUACACACCGCCCGUCACAUCACGAGAGUCGGUUGCACCAGAAGCCGGUGGGCCAACCCGCAAGGGGGGCAGCUGUCGAAGGUGUGAUCGGGAUGGGGGAAGUCGAACAAGGUACC
This 1481-nucleotide ribosomal RNA is filed under the name uncultured bacterium. Its description in RNAcentral is "partial 16S rRNA". It matches the Rfam family "Bacterial small subunit ribosomal RNA". The record is from RNAcentral.